CUCGCUCAAGAGGCUUCGAGGCUUGCUCGUUACAACAAGAAGCCCACCAUCACUUCACGAGAGAUCCAGACUGCUGUGAGGCUGGUGUUGCCUGGGGAGCUUGCUAAACAUGCUGUUUCCGAGGGGACUAAGGCUGUUACUAAGUUCACUAGUUCUUAAAGUUUAGGUUUUCUUAUGGUUCUUUUGUGGGUGCUUUAGAGCUAUUUGAGUGGUGAUAUUAGGGAUCUAGGGUUUCUGGAUGUAAAUUGUUUUUCUGGGUUAUUGUUUUUUUUUUUUUUUAAUUGAACUUU
This 290-nucleotide unclassified non-coding RNA is filed under the name Hevea brasiliensis (rubber tree). The record is from RNAcentral. Lineage: Eukaryota; Viridiplantae; Streptophyta; Magnoliopsida; Malpighiales; Euphorbiaceae.